RNAcentral lists this ribosomal RNA (859 nucleotides) under uncultured bacterium. Its description in RNAcentral is "bacterial SSU rRNA". It matches the Rfam family "Bacterial small subunit ribosomal RNA", at positions 636 to 1504 of the family's 1533-position model. The record is from RNAcentral.
GUAGACUAGAGUAUGGCAGGGGUAGAGGGAAUUUCUAGUGUAGCGGUGAAAUGCGUAGAUAUUAGAAAGAACACCAGUGGCGAAAGCGCUCUACUAGACCAUUACUGACACUCAGAGGCGAAAGCUAGGGUAGCAAAAGGGAUUAGAUACCCCUGUAGUCCUAGCCGUAAACGAUGGAUACUAGAUGUUGUGCUUAGUACAGUAUCGUAGCUAACGCGUUAAGUAUCCCGCCUGGGGAGUACGCUCGCAAGGGUGAAACUCAAAGGAAUUGACGGGGGCCCGCACAAGCGGUGGAGCAUGUGGUUUAAUUCGAUGCAACGCGAAGAACCUUACCAGGGCUUGACAUACUACAAAUUCUUUUGAGAAAGAGAAGUGCCUUCGGGAAUGUAGAUACAGGUGGUGCAUGGCUGUCGUCAGCUCGUGUCGUGAGAUGUUGGGUUAAGUCCCGCAACGAGCGCAACCCUUAUUUUUAGUUACCAAUUCGUUGGGUUUUUUAGAAAGACUGCCGGUGACAAACCGGAGGAAGGUGAGGAUGACGUCAAGUCAGCAUGCCCCUUAUGUCCUGGGCUACACACGUGCUACAAUGGUUAAGACAAAGAGUCGCAAGCUCGCGAGAGUUAGCUAAUCUAUUAAACUUAGCCUAAGUUCAGAUUGUAGGCUGCAACUCGCCUACAUGAAGUUGGAAUCGCUAGUAAUCGCUGGUCAGCCAUACAGCGGUGAAUCCGUUCCCGGGCCUUGUACACACCGCCCGUCACACCAUGGGAGCUGGUCAUACCCGAAACCGUUUGCUUAACCAUCUGGAGAGCGGCGUCUAAGGUAGGGCUAGUGACUGGGGUGAAGUCGUAACAAGGUAGCCGUA